RNAcentral lists this transfer RNA (64 nucleotides) under Cheilonereis cyclurus. Its description in RNAcentral is "tRNA-Ala". The record is from RNAcentral. Lineage: Eukaryota; Metazoa; Annelida; Polychaeta; Phyllodocida; Nereididae.
GGCUGUAUAGCCUAAAACAAGGCAUCUGAAUUGCAAUCAAACCAUGUGUAUAACACUGCAGCCA